UUUUUUUUUGGUUUACGACAUAUUGACCUAUCCUGUGCCGUUGCAAUUGGUUGAUAUCUGUUUGUUAGUCUCUAAACUGUUGACUUAUGCACAUCAAAUCCAUCCAUGACAUCAGAAACACUCAUUCUGGCAUCAACCAUUCCAAGAACCUUCUGACGGUCGUUUUCGGGGAGGCCUGGUUGACGCCCCAUGCAAUGUUUUCAAACGUUCAUGUGUUUUUCUUACCAAUGGUGUAUUUCUGAACGUAAGUGAAAAAAAAAAUUGAAUUUUGUUUUAAAAGUUCAGGUACAGAAGGUAAAACAUCAAUUACUCGUGCAAAGCUGAAAUGGCGCGAAAUUAAUCAUCCAGAAAAAAGUAAGACUGUUUAAAAUUACAGGUAAAACUAAGGAUUAUAUCAAUGAUGUUUAAAAAAAAAAUUCGAGAAACAACAAAAAAAAAAAUUUUAAAACA
RNAcentral lists this long non-coding RNA (450 nucleotides) under Mytilus galloprovincialis (Mediterranean mussel). Lineage: Eukaryota; Metazoa; Mollusca; Bivalvia; Mytilida; Mytilidae. The record is from RNAcentral.